GAUGAACGCUGACAGAAUGCUUAACACAUGCAAGUCAACUUGAAUUUGGGUUUUUAACUUAGGUUUGGGUGGCGGACGGGUGAGUAACGCGUAAAGAACUUGCCUCACAGCUAGGGACAACAUUUGGAAACGAAUGCUAAUACCUAAUAUUAUGAUAAUAGGGCAUCCUAUAAUUAUGAAAGCUAUAAGCGCUGUGAGAGAGCUUUGCGUCCCAUUAGCUAGUUGGAGAGGUAACGGCUCACCAAGGCGAUGAUGGGUAGCCGGCCUGAGAGGGUGAUCGGCCACAAGGGGACUGAGACACGGCCCGUACUCCUACGGGAGGCAGCAGAGGGGAAUAUUGGACAAUGGACCGAGAGUCUGAUCCAGCAAUUCUGUGUGCACGAUGAAGUUUUUCGGAAUGUAAAGUGCUUUCAGUUGGGAAGAAACAAAUGACGGUACCAACAGAAGAAGUGACGGCUAAAUACGUG
Molecule: ribosomal RNA, 467 nt
Filed under: uncultured bacterium
Lineage: Bacteria
Description: partial 16S ribosomal RNA
Rfam family: Bacterial small subunit ribosomal RNA
Source: RNAcentral